Molecule: long non-coding RNA, 12707 nt
Filed under: Homo sapiens (human)
Lineage: Eukaryota; Metazoa; Chordata; Mammalia; Primates; Hominidae
Description: non-protein coding lnc-HAAO-7:6
Source: RNAcentral
CUUCCAUUUCCCAGAGAGGCCAGAGGCAGAGGGGUGCAGAAGAGAGAGCAGAGCCCCUUUGCCUGGGCACAUCUGGGCUCACUACAUGGGAAAGGGCCCCAGGACAAGGGAAGACGAGAAGAGACAGGCCAGGCCCAAGGAGGGAGAGGACCUGAGAUCGAAGAUAGGAGAGAGGAAGACAAGAAGGAGAAGCAGAAAUGAGAAGUUCUGGGGGCUGAGAAGUCCAAGAUCAAGGUGCUGCCAAUUUGGUUCCUGGUGAAUGAGCAAACAGCACAGAAAAAGAAACAGCAGUAUAUGUGGAAGAAAGCAAGAAAAAUCAACUGGCCUGGAACCUAAGACUUGUCCAAAGAUGUCACAGAGAGUAAAAUGAGAAAAAUCCAGUAGCCCGUGCCCAGAGCAGUUCCUCGUACCCAGCAGAAGGCUAACAAGCCCUGAGAUGAAUGAUGCUCUUCCCAAGGAAGGCAGAGGAGGCGACAGUCCAUUUGCGUUCUCUCCUCUGCAAGUACAGGAUCUCGUUUGAUUCUCAAAACCACCCUAGAGGAGACAGGAGGCACCUGAGGCCCAGAGACGUGAAGCCACCUGUCCAAGGCCAUACAGCAGAUAACUUAUUCUGGAGGAAGACACCUGCCAUGCCGUGAGGACAGUCAAGCAGUUCUGUGGAGAGAUCCAUGUGGUGAGAAACAGGGGCCUCCUGUCAACAGGAAGAACAACCUGGCAGGCCUGUCUUGGAUUCAGAGCCUCCAGCCCCAGUCGAGCCUUCAGAUAACUGCACCCUUGGCUGUCAUCUCAACUGCAAUCUCACGACAGACCCUGAGCUGGAACUACUCUGUUUACCAAUGCCUGGCCCACAGAAAGACUAUGAGAUAAAACAAGUAUAUUGUUUUUAGAAGAUAUGUUUUGGAGUAAUUUAUUAUGCUACAAUAGAUAAUACAGAAUUUGGUGAUUUUAUGAUUCUCAACUCCUGGCCAAAGCAAAGCACACAACAAGUCUCAAAGAAAAGUCUCACAAGUGGAAUUGAAAGUACAAAGCUGGCCAGACAAGCUUGUGCAGACAUGUAUGUGGUGGAGUUGAAAAUCACACACUACGACUCACACAAGUGAGUAAAACCUGCGUCUUUCUUAAUUUUUCUUGUACUCUUCUCAUCUAGAUCUAAUGAGAUACUUCCUGCUGUUGACAGGCAAUAAAUGAAUGAACGACAAAAACAAAACAAAAAGAAAAGAAACAAAACAGAAAGAAAAGAAACAAAACAGAAAGAAAAGAAAGAAACAAAACAGAAAGAAAGAAAAGAAAUCUUUAACUUGCCCACUACAGGUUUCUCUAUUUCUGCAUGUUCAAGCAAAUCUCCUUUCAGCAAAAUACUCAUCGUUUUCUCCCUAUUCCCUCUUCUGCUAGCCAGAUGUCUCUCUUCCUGGUGCAGGGAGACAUUUACAGACCUCAUGGUGGUGGGAAGAGGAGUUCAAGGUCGGUGUGGAGUUCUCUGCAUUCUUCCCACAUACCUUCCCCACACACAAUGGGACAGGGCUGGUCGGGCCUGGUCCCUGGGAUCCCUGGUGGCAUUGGUGAUGGUUGGGGAUGGAGAGGGGUACUGAUGAAGUGAGUGGUCCCCGCACAAGGCUGGUGGUGCAGAUCCUACCUCUGUGUUCUUGAUUUCUCUUUUUUUUUUUUUUUCUUUGAGACAGAGUUUUGCUCUUUUUGCCCAGGCUGGAGUACAAUGGCGUGAUCUCAGCUCAUCACAACCUCCGCCUCCCGGGUUCAAGUGAUUCUCCUGCCUCAGCCUCCCAAGUAGCUGGGAUUACAGGCAUGUGCCACCAUGCCUGGCUAAUUUUGUAUUUUUAGUAGAGACGGGGCUUCUCCAUGUUGGUUAGGCUCGUCUCAAGCUCCCGACCUCAGGUGAUCCACCUGCCUCGGCCUCCCAAAGUUCUGGGAUUACAGGUGUGAGUCACCACACCUGGCCUGUGGCCUUGAUUUCUACCCUUUCCCUGGGACCUAGGACCGCCUGGCUGCAUUCUACCCCUCCAGAAGAGGCAGAGUUCCGAGAGCCACUUCCUAGACUGCUUCUUUAGACAUUUCUAAACUACCUCCUGGGCAGCGCCAUAAUGUGUUACACCUUCCUCAAUCACUGCUUUCUUAAAGGAGUUCACUGAAAUUCCCCACAGCUGUCAUCUGAGAGUCAAAUUCCACCUACCUUGUGCGGUGAAAUUUAGCUGCAAAUGUGGCUGGGGUGUCUCCCACACAGCCCUCUGAGUGUCCACUGGGGUGAGGGACAGAGCUUUUUGCUUCUCACCUUCUCUCUUCCUUGAGUCCUGCUGUUCAGUAGCUGUAUCUCUCCAUCCCGUCCUACCUCAUCCGUCCUGGAUGACUUGCUUCGAUUCAACCCUACACUUACUUCCCCGGGCAAUGAACGUCACCUUAGCCUUCACCCUGAAGGGCUACAGGAGAACGAGAAUUAUAGAAAGUGAAAAUACAUCCCUUUGCUAUUUUAUAAGUGCUAUUUCUAUAACACAUGCAUACCCGAAGCACACACACUUGCAUGCAGAGACCCAGAGACAAGCUGAUUCCAAGACCCCAAACACACUAGAGACACACCACAAACACCCUAGGGCUGAACUGGGGCCUGCUCAGGGAACCCUUGCCUGUGACUUCUCAGUAUCAUCCAAGGGGACCCACCUGCUCCUGGAGCCUCCAGGGGGAUCCCUUGUUUACUCUCAAGAUGAUUGUUCUCACCCCUUCUCUCAAAGGCCCUGGGAGUGAGGCAAAGAGGAGGGAGCGCCACCUCUAAUCAGAUCCUCCUCAGGAUAAAAAAAAAAUCAGCAACUGGAGAUGCCCCUGGCUGGUGGACUACUUCUUUUUUUUUUUUUUUUUUUGAGAUAGAUAGAUAGAGUCUUGCUCUGUUGCACAGGCUGGAGUGCAGUGGCGCAAUCUUGGCUCACUGCAAUCUCCACCUCCCGGGUUCAAGUGAUUAUCCUGCCUCAGCCUCCUGAGUAUCUGGGACUACAGGUGUACGCCACCACGCCCGGCUAAUUUUUGUAUUUCUAGUAGAAAUGGGUUUCACCGUGUUAGCCAGGAUGGUCUUGAAUUCCUGACCUUGUGAUCUGCCCACCUUGGCCUCCCUAAGUGCUGGGAUUAUAGGCAUGAGCCACUGCGCCCAGCUGGACUUCUAUAGCUUCUACUGCCUCCUGUCCCUGCAGGCUCUUAGAUGGGUAUCUGGGCUCAGUCUCCUUUGCUGAGCGCCAGACACCUUGGUCAGCUGCUCCAGGACUCUGUCUGAUUUCCCAAAGGCAUCUCCAAUGCAGCCAUCCCAAACUGACUCAUCCUCUUCCCCAGGACAGAGACAGGCCUCUCUCCAUCAAUCCCUCAUCCUCUGGCCCUCUAUUCUAACUACCCCUCCCUCUCUCUAACACUGCGAUGGGCAGGGGCUUAUCUUCUUCUUCCCACCUGGUCCUCCUGUUUCUACCUGCCUCCAACCCCCUCACGGCAACAGGGGGACUUAUCUUGAUUGGAAAGUGGGUCUCAUGGAUUUGCAGCCUCACGUUGAAAAACCUGUCACCAACUCCCCAGCGCCCACAGGAUCACACCCUUGGGCAGAGCAGUAAGCCCCAUCCUUCCCUGGCCUGGCCCAAGUGCCCCGCACCCAGCUGCAGCCGAGGUGAGCAUUGCAGGGUUCCCCUCCUGGGCCUGGCACCCUCUGGCUUCGGCCCCUGUCACACACAGGGUUGGAAUGCUGUAGCUCCUUGCAGUCCUGCUGAACUCAUUUUUCAAGAUCCUGCUUGAGUCACCUCCCUAGGGAAAGCAUCCUUAGUCAGAGUUUAUCAUUCCCUUCUCCAAGUUACCCUGGAACCAUAUUCAAGUUUCUCCCAAGGCAAUUCUCCCAUCCUCUGCCUGGCUGCAGCACCCUCACCUCUGGUCUGGACUGUCAAAGUCGCCUCCUGACUGCCCCUUGCCCUUGCCCCCUGCCCCUUCCAGUCGGCUGUGGACCCAACAGCCCAAAUGGUCCUUUGAAAAUGCCAGUCAAUACACAUCUCUCUGCUCACAACCCUCCAGCACCUCCCAUUUCACUCACGGUCAAAGCUAAAACUGCACAGUGGCCUCCGACUCCUCCCUCUCUGGUCCCCCUUCCCUUUGGACCUUCACUUCUACCCUCCAUUCUCUCUCCACCCCAGCUUGCACCAGCCUCCUUGAAGCCCUGAACACUGCAGGCCCCUCCUCUCUCUGGGCCUUGGCACGUCCCCAGACACCAUGCUCAUCUCCCUCGCCAGGGACUGUCUUUGCUGCAGUCUUGCCUUCUCAGGGAAGCCCACCCUCCCUGCCCUGGACACCACUGCAACCAGCCCCUACUUCCUGGCCCUCCUCCCCCUGCCCCACUUUUCUUUCUUUCCAUAGCAUGCGUCACCUUCUAAACAUAUUAUUUAACCAAUUUUUAAUUUUUUUUAUACUCCAUCUCCCUUGCAAAAAGUGUCAGCUUCACUAGGGCAGGGUCUUUACCUAUUCUGUUCACCGGUGGCUCCUAUGAGCCUAGCAGGGUGCUGGUACACAGUGUGCACUUAAUGUUCAAGCAAUCGAUCCAUCCACUAAAGCUGUUCAUUGGUUUUUGUGGGGGCUCCCUCGGCAGUUGGGGAGGUCCUGGAGACUGAGUUCAUGCUCAGUCACCUCUGGAUCCUCAGGGCUUAGCCACUGCCUUGGCCACAGUGGGUAUGCAAGAACCAUCUAUUGAAUAAAUAAAUGAAUGGGGCCUGCUCCAUUGGUCAAGGGAGAGACUUAUGGGCUGUGCAGAUCAGAGGAUCCCUCUGCCAAGUGAUAUUAUUGCCAGAUUGUUCCUGGACUCCUCACCUGUGCCAGGACCUCACUCUCUCCAGAAUCCUGCCUCACCCCUUUCCCCUUGGGUCCAGUUCCCUCUGCCAGUUUGGAAGUGGUUGAUAUUCAUCUCCACUCCAGAGAGGCUGCCUGAAUACUGCAUAAAACUUGAUGGUUUCCGAGAGAAGCAUGAACUGUGAGCAGGAUCAAUCCCUCACCCCAAAGAUUUGAAGCAAAGUGGUGCAACCUGACUGCAAAAGGUGUUCUGGUGGCCUGGGCAUAGGCAUCAAGCCAGCCCUGGGCAGGGAAGCUGCUGGUAACCCCAAUAGAAGGUGUCUUGCCCUUCCUAGGUGUCUUUCUAAAGACAGGGACUUGGUGCAGGGGCUCAAACAACCCUACACACAGAGCUGGAGCGAGAAGCCACAGUGGCCCGGGGCCUCGCUCACCCCAUCGCCUUCCAUUUCACCCUCUCCUCGAGGCGCUCGGGCGCUAUCAGGAGGUGAUCAGGGCGGGACUGAGCUCCCCAGGCCCAGGCUGGAUCCCAUUGUAGGCUUUGGGGGUUUCAGGCUGUUUUUGGAACCUCGGUCAUGUGUCCUCCCAUGUAACCUGAGCCCCCUGACACGGCAUGAGUCUGCACUCCAGCUCUGAGCCACAUCUGCUUCUCAUUUCCGCCCCAGGAAAACGGCCCAAUUUCCAGGAGCCACUGGCCUAAGCCAAGCCUCCAGCCUCUCAGCAGCCAACUCCACCCAGCCCAGCUCCAUUACCGAGAUGAGAAACCCGAGGCUCAGAGAGGCCCUGUAAUUUGCUCAAGAACAAGAAACCACUACAUCUGAGAUCUUAUCCUUCUGACCCCUCGAUCCGGGUCUUUGCACAGGCAUGGCACCACUCUUGAGUACCCAAGUUAAAAUUCCAGCUCUAUCCUUUAGGAAUUUGACCUUGGCCAAGUUCUCAAAGUCUCCUGUGCCUUACUUUAAAAAAUACGUUUCUUUAAUAAAUGCACCUCAAUAAAGUUAUUGAGGGAUAAUUUACAUACAACAAAUGCACAGAUUUUAUGUGCCCAGCUUGAUGAAUUUUGACAAAUGGAUACCCCCAUGUAAUAACCACACAGUCAAGACGUGGAACAUUGUUCUUACCCCAGAAAGCCCUUCCUUCCGUGCAAACAAAAGGAAGCAAACAAAACUAUCUGCCUCAUAGUGUUAGGAAAAUCGAAUGAGAUAAUACAGGUGAGAUCCUUAGCAAGGCGCCUGGCACGCAGGAAACGCUGGAUAAAUGCAUUGCUAUCAUUCCCUGGCUGUCCCCCUCCUUGACUGGGGCAGGGAUCAGGGCAUAUGCUGAACCAUCUCCCUUCUCCAGCCUAAGGCCAUUUAGCCAGACUAGAAGAAGACUCGGGGGGAUGGAAUAUGUGUCUUGGAGGAGACUUGGAACCAUUUUCGUAAGUCUCCAGAAGCCAUGAUGGGGCUGGGGGUGGAGGAAUUGGCCAGCUUUUGCCUAUGUCUGGCCCAAAGAUAGGGUUUUGCAAUCAUAGCUCACUGAAACCUCAAACUCCUGGGCUCAAGCUGUCCUGUCUCAGCCUUUUGAUUAGCUGGGACUACAGGUAUAUAUGCCGCCAUGCCAUGCUAAUUUUUAAAUUUUUUGUAGAGACGGAGUCUUGCUAUGCUUCCCAGGCUGGCCUCAAACUCCUGGCCUCAAGUGAUCCUCCCGCCUUAGCCUCCCAAAGUAAGCCUGGCCAUCCUCUGUUCUUUUGAGACUCAAAGGAUGAAGGCGCUCAUGGCAGGGCCAGCUUCACAGGUUGGUGACCAAGGCAGCUGCACAGGGCCUUGCUGUCAGAAAGUCCCCACAACUUGGAUUAAUGCUCCCAUGUUAUGUGAAAUCCUUAAUAAUUUUUGAACAAGGGAUCUUGCAUUUUCAUUUUGCACUGGGCCCUGUAAAUUAUGCAGCUGGUGGUGAUGGUGGGGAGGGUGGAGCAAGCUGGCUGGUUUCCUCCCUAGAAAAGCCAGUGCUAUUGCCCUCCCCACUUCCACUCACUGACUACACACAGCUACACAUGCUCAUUCACCUCCAUGGUCCCCUCUCUGUCCCUCUCCACAGUGGGGCAUCUAGGAGAAUCUGGGUCACUCAGGGCCCUCCGCUGCCAGGAGACACCAACAGAACCUGGAAGCCUGCUUGGCCUGGAAACCCCCUUGGGAACAGCUCCUGCUCACAGGGCCUGCUGGGCAGGCCACCCGAAUUCCCAUCCUCUGACACUCCUCUCCAGCCGCCUCCACCCAGCUCUGCAGCUCAAGUGCAAAACCACAGCUGGGUGCCAGCCAAGGGGUCUUGGGUUUCAUCACAUUCAACUUCCCACACCUCGGCCAGAGGCCAGGGUCGAAUGGGGCUGCUGGCCAGAGGCCUGGGCUGGAAGGCAGAGGAGGGGGUGGGGUCCAGUCCUACCCUCGCUUCCUAUCCAUGGCAGAGUACCCCCUCUCUUAGGCCUCAGCUUCCCCUCUAUGUAAUGGGACAGGACUCCACAGGGCUGGAGCAGAUGCCAAGGAUGUCGGGAAGGAAGGCCUCAGAGGCCAAGGCAUCGAAGGAGCUCCUAGAACUUCACUGUCCAAUAUGGUGGCCUCAAGCCUCUCAUAGCCAUUUAAAUUUAAAGGAAUUUAAAGGAAAGAAAAUUCAUAUUUCAGUUCCUCAGUCACUCCAGUCACUUUUUUUUUUUUUUUUUUUUUUUUUUAGAUGGAGUCUUGCUCUGUCACCCAGGCUGGAGUGCAGUGGCACAAUCUCGGCUCAUUGCAACGUCUGCCUCCCGGGUUCAAGCGAUUUUCCCACCUCAGCCUCCUGAGUAGCUGGGAUUACAGGCACAUGCUGCCACACCUGGCUAAUUUUUUUGGUAUUUUUAGUAGAGACUGGGUUUCACCAUGUUGGCCAGGCUGGUCUUGAACUCCUGACCUCAAGUGAUCCACUCCCCUUGGCCUCCCAAAGUGCGGGGAUUACACGUGUGAGCCACUGAGCCUGGCCUCCAGUCACAUUUCAAGUACUCAGUAGGUAGCGACAGGUGGCUCAUGGCCACUGUAUUGAAUAGCACGGAUACAGAACAUCUCCGUCAAUACAGAAAGUUCUACCGAGACGCAUGCCCUGGCUAGGAAAGACCAGGUGCCAGGGACACUAGUAGCUUUACUCUCCUGGGGUGGGGAGCUGGGGCAGGGGGCUGUGAUUGAGAAACACUGGAGACAUCCUCUCACUCCUCUCCCCACCUCACCACGGAUGAGGUGGACUCGCCAUGAGGGGAGCCAGGAGCCUGACACCCAGUACAGGUGUGGACACCCCAGAGGCAGCUUCCAUCCUGACUCCUGGAGUGGAAAGCAGGCUUCCUGGGUCCCUGGGAAGAGGCACUGGGGGAAGCUUCAGAGAGGGAGGAAGUGGCCAGAAGCAGGUGCUCUUCCUAGCAAAGGGCUCCCCAGGAGCUACUUCCAAAUGGGAAACAUCAGCCCUCCCCAAUCCUCACCUCUGGAUGAAUUCCCUGAAGGCUUCAGGAGCAUUUGCAUGUUACAGUACAAUGGUCCUCAAACUUCAGCUUGCAUGGGAAUCCCUGGAAGCUUGCUAAGGCACAGCCAACUAAGUACAAACUUGAAACACGCACACUUCCACUGUCUAUGCGGCAGGCCGAAAUAGGGAUAUCUGGGUUCUGUCCAUCAUAGGGUUCAUUAUUGUGUGGGCCUGUCUGGGGCAGAUCAUUGAAAGAUAUUAGGUUGGUUUUAUCUGGGCAUCUUAGGGAUGCAGCAGAGAGGGUGAUAUGGCAGACCUCAGGAGAGACUGGUUGGGGGAGAGGAAAGAAAGGGGUGGAAGCGAGGGAUGGAGGACAGGGAGGGAGGAGGGAAGAGGGGGAUGGAGUGGGAGCCCGCUCGUGCAUCUCCUGCUGACCUUGUUCUUCCUACCUAUCUUCUCACCUCCUCCUCACAACCACCUUACAAGUCGGCAAAUGUGUGGCUCUGAGAGAUUACACAACCUUGCAGCAGAUACAUGGUCCCUAGGGAGUCAGGCUGGACUCUGUUUCCUCUACCUUUUCUCCCUCCAACUCUGAGUAUUUUCAAACGAAAUAAGCCUGGGAAGCGGGGAAGACUCAGAGCUGUGAAUACAUUUUUUUGUUUUCUGAGCUCAUUCGGCUUUGACAGGAAGCUUGGCUGCGUGCGGGCAGGCGUCUGAGCCCUCCCUCAAUGGUGCUUUUUAGGCAUGCCUUUAUACAGAAUGUAAAGAGUCGCAGUUAUAAAUAUCAGCGGGCUUCUGUGGCCCACUCCGUCCCUCAGCCCCCACGCCCAGCUGGGAUGUCCUGGGACUUCCCGCUUGCCCUCCUCCCCCAACCCCUCCAGCCAGUACCACCCUCAGUGCAUCUGGGAAGGGUGGGAACCGUGAUGCGCCUUGGGCUGGGAAACCAAGGGGGAGUGAAACCCAAAACUGAAUUUCUCCUUUUUCGGAAGAAAGGUUGUUUUCAGUGUCAGGAAACCCAUAAUCCUACAGCCAGCUGUGAAGAUUCCAGAAUGCCUCUCACUUUACAGGUGAGGAACUAGAGGGCCCCCUGGAAAGCUUAUGAACACCCUGACCCCAGAGCUCACCCUCCCUCACUGGGAAAGAAAGUCCCUCUUUUCACUUUGUCACCCCCACCCACCUCCCAAGGCACCCACAGCAUGGUCACUCUUUGAUGACUGUUUGUAUUAUAAGCGGCUCCUCCAACUCUGUUCUACAGUCCCCUCCAUGGAUGCCCUGGAGGGAGGAGGCAGGCGAGACGCGGUCCCAUUUUACAGACGGCCAAAGAGUUGAGUGACUACACAGCUCAUCCCAGGAGAGCUGCCUGGCCCUGCUUCCUGAUAGCCGGCCUGUGCCCCUAGACCUCCCCCGACCCCACAGGCCCCCUCCCCCUCCCUGUAUGCACCCCCUGUCCCCUCACUGAGGCCCAGGAGCACAGUUGAUUUAGAAUUUCCUGCCCUUCUGACAAUCUGCGUGCACAAAACGGGCUUUCUUUAAACCGCUUCGAAGGGCAUCUCCUCCAGCCCCUUCCCCUGCCUUCAUUAAACGCCUCGUCUGAAGCAGGAUAAAUCUUCGGUGAUUAGAAGCAUGCUCCUUGUUCCUGUCCCUGCCCCGAUGGGAAGCGCAUUUCUCAAAGGGUUAAUUAACAGCCUUCACACAGGCCGCAUUUAGCAACGAACACAAAGCCACACACAUAAAUAACGUCUGGGGCGGAAGAAGAGGGUGCAGAUGGUUUGUGACUUUGCCGUCCAGAGUUUUCUAAACCGGUGUGAACCACGUCCUGUCGGGACCAGGACCAUGAGUCAGGGUCAGGCUUUAAGGUGGGCCAGGCCAGAGACGCUAGUGGCCAACUUGGUGCUCUUUGAAAGCAAGUCCUAAAGGAAAACAGAGCGUGGAGCCAAGAUGUGGGGAGAGAGGGAGGGGACGGGGUAGGGAGGAGGGCCUGCUGGCUGACCUGGAGAGAAAAGAGCCAAAGAGAGCCAGAGAUGCGAACCGGGAAGAACCAAGCAGGAGGCCAGAGACAUUGAGUCCCAGCUCCCUGCAAAGUAGUGCUGAAUUUACCAGGGGCUCCACCCAGAAAUUCAGACCCUGGGGCAUAGGGUCCCACUCUGGCCCUGUAGUGAGAGUGAUGGCAAGACAUCCCCAGCCUAAGAGGAGUUGUGUGGGGCUGAGAAAAGGGUUUCAGGAAGGAUAGCCCUGAGGAACCCUGGAAAGUUCUGGAAGUGGCACAGUGAUAUUCGCAGUAUUCCGCCUCAUCCAUGCAUAGGGUCUGUUCCUCUACGCAGCCUUCAGCUCCCCUGGGGGCUCAUAUGCCCCUUCCCAAAGCUAUGGGAACACAUCUGAGGUCUCAAAAUGCAUGGCAACAGGAACACAGGAUUCACUUUACAGAGAUCAGCACUGUUGCAAGGGAUGCCUGAAGCCAAAACAGAGGAAAACGAGAGCCAAGAAGCAGAGGGAGCGAUGCAGAUGUGCACUGGACAUCCACAAACCGCAACAGGAAUGGGGAGAGGAGAGAAGUGAUUGGAAAGCCAGUUUUUGGCAUUCGGCUGGCUGCCAUUCUCUUCACCUUUGUGGUCCCUCCAGUUUGCCCUCCUCAGCCCUAAGGGGUCCUCCCCUACUCGGAGAGGCCCUCACCAUGCUCACUCAGACCCUCUCCUCCUAGGAGCCAGGAGGUGGGACAUGGGGAGGGGGACAGUGAGUCCUGAAUGGAUUUCUGCCCUGGAGGUGAGGGCACCCCUGGUGCCAGGGAGAGGCCCUACCACAGCACAAACUGGGCUGCCCUUCCUGACCCAGGGAUGAACCAGCCUGGGCACUCAGGCCACGGCUGUCUCCCUGUGCCAGGCUCAGCGCCCUGGGGAUGAGGGCGCAAAGAAAGAGACGGGGCCGACAACACAGGCCCAACAGCAGGCCCUGUGUCUGGGAGCGGCAGUUUCUCCCCAAGUAAUUUUCCACAGUUUGGCUUUUCCUCCACACACAGGCUUGCUCACAGAGUUCAGAUGGUGGCUGGUCCUCCAGAGGGUUACUCUGGGCCACUCACCUGCUCGGUGACCCCACCUGCAUUGAUUUCUGCCCUCAUCACUCAGCUGUCUCCAGCUUGCUUCUCAAAGCCCUGUGCCCAUCUCAGGGAUAUGGCUUCUCCAGCCCCCAGAGCUCACUUCACCCCAUCAGGGCCUGGAUCUUGGGUAGUUAUGGGAACCCCUAAAUGCACCAUCCUCUCUGGGCCAGGGCCAACAUUUCUGUUUUCUCAGAAGGAUCAAAGCCCCUUUCCUAGCCCUGCCAGGAGGAAGCAGUUUUGACUCGUGCAAAUAUCUGAAGCCCAUUUGGGAUUUUACUUUGGUGAGAAAUAAAUACACAGCCAUCUGCAAAUGAUGGAAAUAUGACUUAAGUAACUUUUUGGUCGAGGCUCCUGGGCCAGAGGCCAGAUGGAAAUAAGACCUUGUAUCUCAGUCCUCCUUGCACACUUUCAGAAAAAAGAAAAGGCUGGGGGAAAAAGUUGGUGGAAACUGAAGUUCAAAAUGGAGUGUGCUAAAUUUCUUGGCCUGGGAAAGGAAAAAUAAACAUCAAACAGCUACCCCAUUCAAGUGUGCGUUAUCUUGCUCAUCCUCGCCAAGAACUCACCCUCCUCCCUUCUUUGACCGGGAAUUGCUGUGCCCACGAACAGCCCCCACGCCCACCCCUAACCCAGGGCAGGCAAACAAUGGGCCAGAAAACCCUGCUCAGCCAAGGCCUCUCCCCCUGCAGCCCCCAGAGGCCAUAAGAUUGGGAAACACAGGCUAUUUUUAUGUGUUAUUUGUCUACCAACUGUGGCUCCAGGAGCCUGAGCAACAGUAUCAUCUGUGGGAGGUACCAUUGAUUUUUUUGUUUUAACUCGCUCAGACAAAGCCACAUUUUCGCAACUUUCAGAAAAGCCAAAAAAGCAACACUCUGCAAGGCUGACCUCUUCCCUGGCUUGCCUUUCUGCCCUCCAGGGAGCUCUUUCUGGGUGUGUCUGGGCCCCUGUUGCUCUGUGCUGGCCCACACCAAGCACACAGCCCCAGAUCCAGAGGGCCCAAAGGAUAGCCAGUGAAACAAGGAAGGGUGAGGGGGGCAGAGAGAGGAUCUGAGGAGAAGGGGUAGUGUCUCCAACUGGUGAGGGAGGCACAAACCCUGCCCUGGGGGUGCCAGUGUGAUGGAGCAGUGGGGCUAACAGAAGAGUGUGAGAAGUCGCACACAGAGAAAAUGGCUGCUUGAUAGCCAUCCAUCUCCCAAGUCCACGGGUUGGGAUGCUCUGUGCAGCGGGUACACCCAGAGGCAGAUACAGGGCUGAGAGGGUGCAGGCCAGGUGCGACUGCCUAGGCUGGGGCUGAAAGAAUCCAGCUGGCAGAGGUGGCUCACACCUGUAAUCCCAGCACUAUGGGACGCCGAGGCACGAGUCC